AUCCAGCUGAAGAGCCUCAAAUAGGUAGAAACGCGCGUCCUGGAU
This is a non-coding RNA of Schistosoma margrebowiei, 45 nucleotides long. NCBI's taxonomy places the organism in Eukaryota, Metazoa, Platyhelminthes, Trematoda, Strigeidida, Schistosomatidae. The record is from Rfam.